Molecule: long non-coding RNA, 396 nt
Filed under: Setaria viridis
Lineage: Eukaryota; Viridiplantae; Streptophyta; Magnoliopsida; Poales; Poaceae
Description: long non-coding RNA (SVIR_LNC011186)
Source: RNAcentral
GGGUGAGAUGAAUAGGAGAAGGGGUGGGUCCGAGCCGCGGGCCCAGCGUAAGAGAGAGGGGGUAGAGUAGAGUCGCGUGAGAAAAGUAGCCGGGGGUGUUUUUCGGGAAAAGAUAGAUUUCCUUUAUAGAAUAAUUAGUUUAAAUCCGAAUCUCACCAUUUAAAUCACAAAAAUUUCUAGGAGUGCCCAAACUUAGUGAAACCAAUUUUGUUAGGCUUAUUUUAUUUUCCUUUAUGCAUUAAAAUUUUUAUACCCUAGAAAAAUAAUAAAAAUUUGGGUAUUUAUUUAAUGCCUUUCUUUUAAGGUAUUUAAAUAAAUACUUAAUCUUUAUUAAAUGCAUAAAAUAUGGAAUAACAUUUUCAUAAUCACAAAUUAUUAUUAACUCAUAGGGAAUUA